UCUGAUGAAAUAGAGCACAAAGAAUACCUUAAACAGAGAAAACCAUGAUCGUUUGUAGAAGGGUGGCACUCUUUUCCA
This 78-nucleotide small RNA is filed under the name Arabidopsis thaliana (thale cress). RNAcentral's name for it is "ATSL302400". Lineage: Eukaryota; Viridiplantae; Streptophyta; Magnoliopsida; Brassicales; Brassicaceae. The record is from RNAcentral.